CAUCCCAGUUCGGAUUGCAGGCUGCAACCCGCCUGUAUGAAGUUGGAAUCGCUAGUAAUCGCGGAUCAGCAUGCCGCGGUGAAUACGUUCCCGGGCCUUGUACACACCGCCCGUCACACCAUGAGAGUCGGGAACACCCGAAGUCCGUAGCUUAACCGCAAGGGGGCGCGGCCGAAGGUGGGUUCGAUAAUUGGGGUGAAGUCGUAACAAGGUAUC
This 216-nucleotide ribosomal RNA is filed under the name uncultured bacterium. RNAcentral describes it as "partial 16S ribosomal RNA". It matches the Rfam family "Bacterial small subunit ribosomal RNA", at positions 1284 to 1500 of the family's 1533-position model. The record is from RNAcentral.